RNAcentral lists this ribosomal RNA (500 nucleotides) under uncultured bacterium. Its description in RNAcentral is "partial 16S ribosomal RNA". It matches the Rfam family "Bacterial small subunit ribosomal RNA", at positions 30 to 523 of the family's 1533-position model. The record is from RNAcentral.
AUUGAACGCUGGCGGAAUGCUUUACACAUGCAAGUCGAACGGCAGCACGGACUUCGGUCUGGUGGCGAGUGGCGAACGGGUGAGUAAUGUAUCGGAACGUGCCCAGUCGUGGGGGAUAAUGUAGUGAAAAUUACGCUAAUACCGCAUACGAUCUAUGGAUGAAAGCGGGGGAUCGCAAGACUUCGCGCGAUUGGAGCGGCCGAUAUCAGAUUAGGUAGUUGGUGGGGUAAAGGCCCACCAAGCCAACGAUCUGUAGCUGGUCUGAGAGGACGACCAGCCACACUGGAACUGAGACACGGUCCAGACUCCUACGGGAGGCAGCAGUGGGGAAUUUUGGACAAUGGGCGAAAGCCUGAUCCAGCCAUUCCGCGUGCAGGAUGAAGGCCCUCGGGUUGUAAACUGCUUUUGUACAGAACGAAAAGGUUUCUACUAAUACUAGGAGCUCAUGACGGUACUGUAAGAAUAAGCACCGGCUAUCUACGUGCCAGCCGCCGCAGUAA